CCUACGGGUGGCAGCAGUGAGGAAUAUUGGUCAAUGGGCGGAAGCCUGAACCAGCCAAGUAGCGUGCAGGAUGACGGCCCUACGGGUUGUAAACUGCUUUUAUACGGGAAUAACGCGCCUUACGUGUAGGGCUUUGCAUGUACCGUAUGAAUAAGGACCGGCUAAUUCCGUGCCAGCAGCCGCGGUAAUACGGAAGGUCCGGGCGUUAUCCGGAUUUAUUGGGUGUAAAGGGAGCGUAGGCCGCAUGUCAAGCGUGCUGUGAAAUGUCCGGGCUCAACCCGGGCCUUGCAGGGGGAACUGGAGUGCUUGAGUCCGCGGAAGGCAGGCGGAAUUCGUGGUGUAGCGGUGAAAUGCUUAGAUAUGACGAAGAACCCCGAUUGCGAAGGCAGGUUGCUGCAGCGGAACUGACGCUGAGGCUCGAAAGUGCGGGUAUCGAACAGGAUUAGAUACCCCAGUAGUC
Molecule: ribosomal RNA, 460 nt
Filed under: uncultured bacterium
Lineage: Bacteria
Description: partial 16S ribosomal RNA
Rfam family: Bacterial small subunit ribosomal RNA
Source: RNAcentral